CGGCCGCGAAAUUCGUCUUAGAGUUUGAUCCUGGACUCAGACGUAAGCGACUAGGACGGCGGUCUUAAUACAUGACAAGUCGAACGGCUGCACUUGCGGUGAGAGUGGCAGACGGGUGAGUAUACACGUGUGGAACCUACCUAGGGGUACGGAAUAACUCAGGGAAACUUGUGCUAAUACCGUAUACGACCUUCGGGUGAAAGAUUUAUAGCCGCCUAGAUGGGCCCGCGUUGGAUUAGCUAGUAGGUGGGGUAAAAGCUCACCAAGGCGACGAUCAUAGCUGGUCUGAGCAGGAUGAUCAGCCACACUGGGACUGAGACACGGCCCAGACUCCUACGGGAGGCAGCAGUAGGGAAUCUUGGACAAUGGGCGAAAGCCUGAUCCAGCCAUGCCGCGUGAGUGAUGGAAUGGCCUUAGGGUUGUAAAGCUCUUUCCGCCCAGGGAAGAUAAUGACGGUAGCCUGGAUAAGUAGCCCCGGCUACCUUCGUGCCCAGCUGGGUAAUACAGGGGGGGGGCUUAGGACCGUUUUGUCUGGGAAAAUUUUAACUUGGGGGGCCCGUUAGGCCGCCACCGUUUAAGGGCGGCCUUUCAAAGGUGGAGGUAAAUAUCCCCCGGGGGCCUUUUAAACCNUGGGAAACUGCCCUCCCUAAAACUUGGGGNAAAGCCUUAGUCCGAAGAGGUAGUGGUUGAGUUUUUUACCUGGCCAAGUUUGUUUCCCUAGGAACCACUGA
This 731-nucleotide ribosomal RNA is filed under the name uncultured bacterium. RNAcentral's name for it is "bacterial SSU rRNA". The stretch from base 21 to 532 matches the Rfam family "Bacterial small subunit ribosomal RNA", at positions 9 to 546 of the family's 1533-position model. The record is from RNAcentral.